CUGAGAGCUCUCUGACACACUGUCUCUCUCUGAGAGAGACAGUGUGUCAGAGAGCUCUCAGAU
Molecule: microRNA precursor, 63 nt
Filed under: Pelobates cultripes (western spadefoot toad)
Lineage: Eukaryota; Metazoa; Chordata; Amphibia; Anura; Pelobatidae
Source: RNAcentral